GACAUACUUGAAGUCACAAAGGAGUCAAUAUUUAAAACGUUAUUGAAAGAUGAAUAUAGCUAAGCAAGCACGGUAGACCUCUUACUUCUCCUUGAAGCUCGAGUGAAGUUACUUCCGAUAUUUGUUUUAAAUGUAUAAGAUUGCUGUAUAUAUCAGACAACUCUGGAUUUCUCAUGAAGCAUACAAGGACUAUUAUAAACUUCAGAUGUCUGAAAUCUCACAUUCAAUUGGGAUUUUCUUCUUUUGUCUAGCAGUUCGAUUGUUAAUCGAAAACAUUGAUAACUUGGAGACUUUAAUCCCAUGGGGAAAAAUGAACAAUAAAAAAACAAUUGAUUUCAAUGGAGACUUCAUUUAUUAAGUUAGACAUUUUUAGUGCAAAAUAGGCCUGAUAUUUCUUUUAGAAAACUUAAAAAUGUUUUUGUGUAUAAAGAAAAUACACUAAAGUACAGUGCUGUUUUGACUUGGUGGGUAUGUUCAGCUAUAAGUGAGCCAAUGAAUCACUGACUCUCUGAUACACAUUGAUGAUGGUACUUGUGAAUUAUUGUGAGGAAGUGUGAAAAUGUCUUAUAAAUUAUUGGGUAGGCAGUUAUAUUGGUGCCUUUGAAACCUGCUUUGUUUCUGCUGUGUGCUUUUGUUUGUACAAUGUAGGCAUAUGCUCUAAAAUGUCAUUCAGAUUACAAACAUGCGGGGAGUAAGGGAGCACUUCCGCUUCCGUUUCACAACUUUUAUUUCAUCACAUUGCUUCUCAGUCAACUAUCAAAAUCACAAGUUUCCUUCCUUAUAGUUUUAAUCAGAGAAAAUUUUGUAGAAAAUUGAUCGUGAAAAAGAGUACAGGGAAGCAAAGAAUGCUUUAAAACUCACACCGGUAUACAAAAUCACUUGGCCGGCAUCCUAGAAACCUAGUGGAUACACACUGUGUAGAGGGUAAAACAAAGAAAUACGGUAGUUCUAGGGAAUAGAAAAGUUUUGGUUUGGUUUGGUUUUCCUGAGAACCUGACCUGGCAAUUCAACUGAUCAUUAAACACGACUGUAAAGAACAGCUCCAUUUCGGCCCUUAGAGAGUUCAUCCAGAGAUUGCAGGAGGGAUUUGUAUAGAAUAAAGCUUCACAAAACCGAAGGCUGUCAAGGGAAAUAGUAUCCAGGAGGACAGGGCAAGCCAACCACCCCUUCAGCAGCAAAAGCUCAGAAGACAGCCAGAGGCAGGUCUGUGGCUGCCAACACAACUGCCUACCACGUCUGCCAAGGAGCCAGAAGCUGCUUGUGGGAGAAUAUCCCUUACCCUUAGCAUCUGGGUCCUGUGAUUGUUAUCCAAAGAGACAGAGUGGAUUACAGGAGCAAGGUUCUUAUAAUGGACACCGUAGUGGCUGAGUGGCUGCAGCCCCUUCUGAUGAGAUCUAAACUCCGAAGGUCCAUCCUGUCCACACUGCCCAGAGGUCACCUCUGCAUUGUGCUUCAUUGAAGAUGCUCAUGAAGAUGCCUUGCUUCUUGGCCAUAAGAACUCAAAAAGUUCUCCUGUUUCUUGCUUCCUAUAUCUCCAAACAACUAUGUACAAGGAAGAUAGAACAAAGAGGUUUGCAGAGCCAUUGCCUUGUCGUCUUCUUACAAUACAAAAUUCAAUGGUUGUAACUGAUCAUUAAUAAACAAAAAGUAUUCUCUUAUACUUA
This is a long non-coding RNA of Mus musculus (house mouse), 1664 nucleotides long. RefSeq annotates it as predicted gene, 30905. NCBI's taxonomy places the organism in Eukaryota, Metazoa, Chordata, Mammalia, Rodentia, Muridae. The record is from RefSeq and is a predicted model, not a curated record. The transcript has 3 exons.